AGCAGAGUAGGUGUAUGCGCGUUAAGUGCCGGACGUACAGGGAGUUGACGGUCGGACGAAAAGGUUUUCUUGCGGUGCGUACGCCGCAUCCCGCUGCA
Lachnoclostridium sp. An14 is the source of this 98-nucleotide regulatory RNA element. It matches the Rfam family "THF (Tetrahydrofolate) riboswitch aptamer". From Rfam's summary of the family: THF riboswitch presents a pseudoknot that joins P1-P2 and the loop of P3 and two THF binding. NCBI's taxonomy places the organism in Bacteria, Bacillati, Bacillota, Clostridia, Lachnospirales, Lachnospiraceae. The record is from Rfam.